CUGAAGGGAAAAACAGUAAAAAGCAAGUGCUGUGAGUCACAGGCUGAGGUACCAGCAGAGGCACCUCCUCAAAAACCAGAAGGAUGUCAACCACAUUGAGAGGUUAAGUCUGACAAAGUCUGCCCAGAAAUGCACUGGUUGAUCACAGUACAUCUGAGUACUCACUGUUUACCACCAGAACACAUAACCCUGUAUUUAUCUAACUUUUUGUUGUUGUCUGGGGGAGGAAGGGAUAAUAACACUUUAUCGUAACCCUGCAAAUAAGGACUGAGUUGCAGAGCAAGUUUAAGUGAUGGAGUCAUUUUCAGACAGAAAUUAAUCUCAGCUGAGUGUCUAAUCUACUAGGCCAGUUCUUUCUACCCCUUUCAGUGGAUGGUAUCUAAAAAGGUAAGACUGAUGCUGGUUUCUUAAGACUAAAAAGGUAUUGAGUAUAUGGUAAUUUGCCUUAGUUAUGUUUGCAUACAGUAAUGAUAAGAAUGGUGUCCUUUGAAAAUACGUGGGUGUUACCCCUUGAAAAUGCAUUUUUGUACCAAAUACCUCAUGUGUUUAAAAAGAUGCUGGAUGACAUUAUGUCAUGCUUUCACCGUGUAUUUAUUAAACUUCAAAACCACCAUUAGUGCUGUCGUAUCUCUAAUACGUUUUAUCGAGCAGAACAUGGAUCCCACACAAGUGGAAUGUACCUGUAUGAAUAGACCAGCAAGCUUUAUAAUGAAUCUAUAAUUCCAGUUGUGCUUCAGGAAAAAAACAAAUGUCAUCAAGACAAAUCUUAGAAUCCAGGCUACGGAAAAAGAACAGUAAAAUCGUACCUUGGUUGUCUUUAUUCCAUUGUCUUUUAGAGAAGUGAGCUGAUCCUGGAAGCUCUCUCUACACCUUCCUUUUUUCUGGCCACGUGUUUUAGAAGAAAAGGAGUGUCCUCUUGACAAAUGCUACUUCCACAGAAAAGUCUGCCUUCCCCUGAGUCUGAAAGCCCAAAUCUGCACAGACACUGAGCACAAUGAAACAAGCUCAGUAACCUCAGUAGCGAGCUAGUUCCCUUCACAGCCUUAAUCCAUCUGUAAUCGUUAUCCUUCCUUAAAUACUGACAAGUUCAGUUAGCAAUCAUCUCAUUAUGGGUUACCCUAUUGAAAUAGGCUAUUUAAACCUGUUAUGCUUUGGUACGCUAUGGUCUUAACGUAACUAAGCUGUCGGAAAAGUCAUCCAUCUCAAAUCCUAUUUUCAACAGUCUUCUCAAGCUGCUUCCCAGAUCACUGCAAAUAAUGCAAGAAAAAUAACAGCAAAGAGGCUUACCUUUUCACCUUUGCUUACAAGCCCCCCCACCUUCCUCAAGAGAUUCUACUGGUUCUAUAGCCAGCUGCAAACUUGAGAACCAGAUACUUGAAACACCAUGGAUUCACUCAGCUUCUUCCAAUACUGUCUGCAUUUAGAACGUGCAUGUCAGCCACAGAAACUCAGAAGUGAUGGGGGUUAACAAUUCAGUAAGCAUCUGCUUUUAUUUGGAAUUCUAUGCUACAAAAAUUCCUUAAGGCUUACGUGUUUGUGUCACUGAAACAGGUAACAAUGAACACUUAAAAUGCAGUACUUAAAGAUGAAGUUAGCUUAUCAGCUAUCCACAUGAACCACGUUCUCAAUUUUUUUUAAUCAAUCAAAUUCAGAGAACUGUAUCUGUAAAGUGCAGAUAUUGCAUUCAGCAUUACAACAGACAAGGCACUUAAGCUAUUAAGAGAUAAAAACAGCUUUAAAUUAUUUGAUUAAAAUAAAUGGAUAAGUAAUGCUCAUUUGCACUGUAGAUGGAUAUUUUUCCUUCACCAGAACAGUAAGCUCUGCAGGGCAGGAACGUUGGAAAAAAUAGUGAUCCCCUUCCACUAUUUACUAAUAACCACAAUGUGGCAACACAGCUUUUUUCUGCCCUGUUAAUCAUAGGGGGCAGCACUGGAUGUCCCUGCUCAGGUUCUUACCAGGACAAAAAUCCUAUUCAUUUGUGGGGUUUUACAAAGAAAACAAAAUCUGUACUCAGAAUAUAAGAAAGUGAUAACUGUGUAUCUUUUCUAUCUCUCAAGAGGCUCAAUUUUAGAUAAGUGCUACAUUUCAAAAAUAUAUUUAUAGGGAGAGAAUUUCACAGACAUAAACAUGGCCAAAACAGAAAUAGGAUUAUGUAGUAUGAGAGAACAGAUUAAGAUGGAAGAAAAGCCUUCUUCUAUAAUUGUGAGAGUGCUCUUAAUUUACUUGUUUCUGAUGUCAAGUGCUACUUCAUACACAGGUGCCUUUGGAAAUUACAUUUUGAAGGCCACAAUACUUAAAAAAAAUAGUAAUCAUGUGAGUCACCUUGAAUAAUACACAGUUGAACAUUUCAGAUGAAUUCUCAAGGAGUGGAUCCAAGCACUUCUCCACUUCUCUUUGCUCUGCUGUUCACGUGUACGUUGCACAAAGCAGUGCCCAGGAGCAGCACCAGAGUAACUUGUGAGUUCAGUCCUCCACCUUCAGCACUGUGAAUGCUUUUCAGCUUCUGGCUUCAGCACAGCAGCAUCAAUUUCUUCAUAAAUCGCUCUGAUAGAAGAGGAAAAGGGCAACUCUUAUGGCACAGUUUUGUUUUAUUUAGAUAAAAUGCACCAAUUAAAUCCUGCCUGGGAGUUUAUGUUGUUUACCUAAAAUACAGUAUCAGCUGCAGGAUGCUCAGCUUUCCACAUUAGCAAGGAGCCCAUCCUGUGAUGUUUGUCAUUGUAUGUUGACUGGGAUACCUCUGGAAAUGGUCACUUUUGAUUAAAUAAACAUGACUGCAAAAUGCAGAUGGCCUCCACACCAUUCUGUGCUGUAUUCACCUUUUCCUAUCACUUAACAGAUAGUUCUUGACAUAGCACUACUUCAUCACUUUUGCAGAAGCUGAUUACUGAGCACACUACAGGAGUUUAUUCCUUCAUCAGUUAAGCAAGGAAUAACAAAAAAAGCUCCAAUCCUAUGGGUCACUUAACUCUGCCUAAACAGAAUGCUCUGCUUCCUCACUCAGAAGAAAGCCAUCUCAGAAGCCUUUUUGCCUUUGGCACCUAAGAGAACUGUAAAUUACUUUAAAAGCUACUUACUCUGUAGGAGCCAAAGGAUCAAAUUCCAUUAUCUCGUAGUAAUGAGGUGACUGCAACUUGUUCUUCGAUGCAGCUGAAGGAAGUGAAGUGGUCUG
This is a long non-coding RNA of Gallus gallus (chicken), 3169 nucleotides long. RefSeq lists it as uncharacterized. NCBI's taxonomy places the organism in Eukaryota, Metazoa, Chordata, Aves, Galliformes, Phasianidae. The transcript has 4 exons. The record is from RefSeq and is a predicted model, not a curated record.